UACGUAGGGGGCGAGCGUUGUCCGGAUUUACUGGGCGUAAAGCGCACGCAGGCGGUCUGCUAAGUUUGGAGUGACAGUUGGUGGCUUAACUGCCAAAGUGCUUCGAAAACUGACAGACUUGAGGGCGGCAGAGGGACACGGAAUUCCGGGUGUAGCGGUGAAAUGCGCAGAUAUCAGGAGGAACACCGGUGGCGAAGGCGGGUCUCUGGGCUGAUAUUGACGCUGAGGAGCGAAAGCGUGGGGAGCAAACAGG
RNAcentral lists this ribosomal RNA (253 nucleotides) under uncultured bacterium. RNAcentral's name for it is "partial 16S ribosomal RNA". It matches the Rfam family "Bacterial small subunit ribosomal RNA", at positions 524 to 776 of the family's 1533-position model. The record is from RNAcentral.